This is a long non-coding RNA of Sapajus apella (tufted capuchin), 190 nucleotides long. RefSeq lists it as uncharacterized. The transcript has 2 exons. The record is from RefSeq and is a predicted model, not a curated record. NCBI's taxonomy places the organism in Eukaryota, Metazoa, Chordata, Mammalia, Primates, Cebidae.
GGUGGUGCAUACCUGUAAUCCCAGCUACUUGGGAGGCUGAGGCAGGAGAAUUGUUGAAACCCAGGAAACAGAAGCUGCAGUGAGCUGAGAUCGAGCCACUGCACUCCAGCCUGGCGACAGAGCAAGACUCCCAUUUCAAAAAAAAAAAAAAAAAAAAAGUAUGCAUCAUAGUUUAGCCAUUUGUUCAUCA